GGAUGUGAGGGCGAUCUAGCUGCGACAUCUGUCACCCCAUUGAUCUCCAGGGUUGAUUUGGCUAAUCUGGCUGGCUAGGCGGGUGUCACCUUCCUCCCUCACUGCUCCAUGUAUGUCCCUCCUGAAGCUGUGUGCUUGGUUGAAGAGGACAGCUGUCCCCCAAUAGCGACAGACCAGUCUUCGGGUCGAGGGUAUAUGAGUAGCUGCGCUCUCCUGCUAGAACUUCCAAACAAACGCUAACAUAUGGAAUAUAAAUGAUUAAAUCAAGGGGAUGGGUGGUGGCACACCUGGCUGAGCACACAUGUUACAGUGUGCAAGGAC
Unclassified non-coding RNA from Erinaceus europaeus (western European hedgehog), 321 nucleotides. Its record names the gene 7SK. It matches the Rfam family "7SK RNA". Rfam says of the family: 7SK was discovered as an abundant small nuclear RNA in the mid-70s but a possible function has only recently been suggested. Two independent studies have found that 7SK RNA binds the CDK9/cyclin T complex (known as elongation factor P-TEFb). P-TEFb activates transcription by phosphorylating the C-terminal domain of RNA polymerase II. NCBI's taxonomy places the organism in Eukaryota, Metazoa, Chordata, Mammalia, Eulipotyphla, Erinaceidae. The record is from Ensembl.